Molecule: long non-coding RNA, 1124 nt
Filed under: Capsicum annuum
Lineage: Eukaryota; Viridiplantae; Streptophyta; Magnoliopsida; Solanales; Solanaceae
Description: long non-coding RNA (CANN_LNC001924)
Source: RNAcentral
GAAAAGGAAGUUUAGUAAAUAUGAAUAGGAGCGAAAGCGGAGCUACCGAUGAAUUGAAAGGAUCUAAUAUCGAUAAGAGACGAGAAGAAAGAUGUGGAUCGGAUGUGUGUAUGUGAGUGUGUGUGUUUGCUUAUAUAUAAUAAAUAUUUCUUUUCUGUUCAAAUUUUUGUGUCGUAGUUUGGAUUUUAAAAUUUACAUUUUCUAAUUUUAAUCGUAAAUAUGAAUAGGAGCGAAGGCGAAGCUAUCGGUGAAUGAAAAGGAAGUUUAGUAAAUAUGAAUAAGAGCGAAGGCGGAGCUACCGAUGAAUUGAAAGGAUCUAAUAUCGAUAAGAGACGAGAAGAAAGAUGUGGAUGUGUGUAUGUGAGCGUGUGUGUUUGCUUAUAUAUAAUAAAUAUUCCUUUUCUGUUCAAAUUUAAGUGUCGUAGUUUGGAUUUUAAAAGUUACAUUUUCUAAUUUUAAUCGUAAAUAUGAAUAGGAGCGAAGACGGAACUACCGAUGAAUUGAAAGGAUCUAAUAUCGAUAAGAGAUGAGCAGGAAGAUGCGAAUGUGUGCAUGUGAUUGUGCGUUUUUGCUUAUAUAUAAAAGUAUUUUCUUUUAGUUUGAAUUUAUGUGUCAUAGUUUGAGUUUUCAAAAGUUAUACUUUUUAAUUUUAAUCGUAAAUAUGAAUAGAAGUGGAGACGAAGUUAUCGAUAAAUGAAAAGAAUCAAAUAUCGAAAAGAGAUGAGAAGAAAGAUGUGGAAGUGUGUAUGUGAGUGUGCAUUUUUGUUUAUACAUAAAAAAUUCUCUUUCUGUACGAAUUUAUAUGGCAUAAUUUGAGUUUUAAAAGUUACAUUUAUUAAUUUUAAUUGUAAAUAUGAAUAACAGCGGAGACGAAGCUACCGAUGAAUGGAAAGAAUCAAAUACCGAUAAAAGAUGAGAAGAAAGAUGUGGAUGUGUGUAUGUGAGUGUGUGUUUUUGCUUAUAUAUUAAAAUAUUCUCUUUUUGUUUUAAUUUAUGUGUCAUAGUUUGAGUUUUAAAAGUUACAUUCUUUUAAUUUGAAUCGUAAAUAUUAAUAGGGGCGAAGGCGAAGCUACUGAUGAAUGAAAAUAAUCAAAUAUCAAUAGAGAUGAGAAGAAAAAUGUCGG